UACAGAGGUCCCAAGCGUUGUUCGGAUUCACUGGGCGUAAAGGGUGCGUAGGUGGCCGGGUAAGUCUGAUGUGAAAUCUCGGAGCUCAACUCCGAAACUGCAUUGGAUACUAUCCGGCUUGAGGGUCGGAGGGGGGACUGGAAUUCUCGGUGUAGCAGUGAAAUGCGUAGAUAUCGAGAGGAACACCAGUGGCGAAGGCGAGUCCCUGGACGACUCCUGACACUGAGGCACGAAAGCUAGGGGAGCAAACAGG
Molecule: ribosomal RNA, 253 nt
Filed under: uncultured bacterium
Lineage: Bacteria
Description: partial 16S ribosomal RNA
Rfam family: Bacterial small subunit ribosomal RNA
Source: RNAcentral